Molecule: microRNA precursor, 102 nt
Filed under: Marmota monax (woodchuck)
Lineage: Eukaryota; Metazoa; Chordata; Mammalia; Rodentia; Sciuridae
Source: RNAcentral
AGUGGAAUAGCUGGGUCAAGUGAUUUUUCCAUUCCCUAUUUUUGAGGAAUCUCUAUACUGCUUUCCAUAAUGGUUGCACCAAUUUGCAGUCCCACCAGCAGU